CUAACAGAUGUAGUUCGAUAACUCUGUUUUAUAUUUCAACUUAUUAAGGAUGAGCUUAGUAAGAAAUAUGGGAAAAAAUAUAAUUUUAUUGGAUUAUUUAGGCUUGAAAUUAGCCAUUGUAGUAAAGUUUGUUACAAAAUAAUUCUUUUAGUAUAAAAAUUUUUAUAUUUUCUAUUCUAUCGUAUCAUAAAGGUAACAAAGAGAACUAAUAACUUAGUUUGCUUAUGCUAAAAUGAGUAUUUAUGAAUUAAUACAUAGGUAAACACUAAAAAAUACCUAUAACAACAUAGUUUUUUAAACUAAAAUAAAAAGAAGGAACUCGGCAAAUCUUAGCUUCGCCUGUUUAUCAAAAACAUGGCUCUUUGCUAACUUGGUAUAAAGAGUCGGACCUGCCCAGUGAGAUUUUUAACGGCCGCGGUACUCUGACCGUGCAAAGGUAGCAUAAUCAUUUGCCUUAUAAUUGGAGGCUGGUAUGAAUGGUUUAACGAAAGCAUUGCUGUCUCCUUUUUACUGAGUAGAAUUUGAUUUCUAGGUGAAGAAGCCUAGAUACAAUUGAAAGACAAAAAGACCCUGUCGAGCUUAAAAGCAAGUUGGAGAAAGAUUAUAUAAAAUAAUUUAGAUUUACUACCACACUAUUAUUUUUGGUUGGGGCGACCUGGGAACAAUGAAAGCUUCCUUUUUUAUUUUAACUUAUAAGUAACGAUCCAGCCUAAGCUGAUUAAAAGAAUUAGUUACCGCAGGGAUAACAGCAUAAUCUCUCUUGAGAGACCGAAUCGAAAGAAGAGGAUUGUGACCUCGAUGUUGGACUAGAAUAUCCUAAAGGUGCAGAAGUCU
This 834-nucleotide ribosomal RNA is filed under the name Sulcospira provisoria. RNAcentral's name for it is "partial 16S ribosomal RNA". It matches the Rfam family "Bacterial large subunit ribosomal RNA", at positions 1402 to 2564 of the family's 2925-position model. Lineage: Eukaryota; Metazoa; Mollusca; Gastropoda; Pachychilidae. The record is from RNAcentral.